GGAAAUUUCUCUCUAAAUCGUAACCAAUCGGAGGAUUCGAUGAUGUAUAUUCAAUCAUGGUCAUCGACGGUGAAUCUUGGUCAUCAAAUCAGUGAGGUGGUCAUUCAAAACUGGAGAGCAAUCUCGCCAGAUCUCUGAGUUUCGUAUGAUAAAUCGGUGUUAAUCGUUCACCAAUCAGGUUGUCAUGGUAUCUAUGGAGAAACUUGGACAUUUAAAUUGAGAGAGAAUAUGCUACAUAUUCAUGGUUGAAGAAAAGUAAUGCAUCGUCUUGUAGUUUUAUAUGACUUUUUGAUAUAGAUUAGGUAAAAAUUUUGUAUAUAGAUUCGUAGUAUCUAUUUUGUGAUAAAAGCA
Arabidopsis thaliana (thale cress) is the source of this 351-nucleotide RNA transcript. RefSeq lists it as uncharacterized. The transcript is spliced from 2 exons. The record is from RefSeq. NCBI's taxonomy places the organism in Eukaryota, Viridiplantae, Streptophyta, Magnoliopsida, Brassicales, Brassicaceae.